This 353-nucleotide small RNA is filed under the name pig gut metagenome. Its description in RNAcentral is "transfer-messenger RNA". It matches the Rfam family "transfer-messenger RNA". Rfam says of the family: Bacterial tmRNA, also known as 10Sa RNA or SsrA, is named for its dual tRNA and mRNA-like properties. Its role is to liberate the mRNA from a stalled ribosome. The record is from RNAcentral.
GGGGAUGUAAUGGGUUCGACGGGGGUAGCUGGUGCAUCGUAAGCGAGCCGGAGUCUCCGUCCACUCCGUAAAAAGGCGGAAGUCCUUUAAAUAUAAAGGCUAACGACAAUUACGCAAUCGCAGCCUGAUUUGGCUGCCCUCUCACUCGGCAGAGCCCGCGCUCUGAGCUGAGAGGCCAAACAGCGGGAUUACCUGUGUAAGACGCUCCGACUUACGCCGGGAGAAUCAAGGAGAUCGCCGAAGGACGGAUUGCCCCUGAACCGUCUCAGGCUAAAACCAAUCAGUGGCUGCGCUCGGAGAAGUCGGUGAAACAAUGCCUUCGGACAGGAGUUCGAUUCUCCUCAUCUCCACCA